This is a small nuclear RNA of Fukomys damarensis (Damara mole-rat), 107 nucleotides long. NCBI's taxonomy places the organism in Eukaryota, Metazoa, Chordata, Mammalia, Rodentia, Bathyergidae. The record is from Ensembl.
UCGCUCGCUUUGGCAACACAUAUACUAAAACUGGAAUGAUACGGAGAAGAUUAGCAUGGCCCCUAUGCAAAGAUGACACACAUGUUUGUGAGACAUUCCUGUUUUUU